CAAAGAUUAAGCCAUGCAUGUCUAAGUACAAACUAUAUUAAAGUGAAACCGCGAAAGGCUCAUUAAAUCAGUUAUGGUUCCUUAGAUCGUACCACAUUUACUUGGAUAACUGUGGUAAUUCUAGAGCUAAUACAUGCAAACAGAGCUCUGACCGGAGACGGAAGGAGUGCUUUUAUUAGAUCAAAACCAAUCGGCAGCAAUAACAUUUCGGUGUUUGUUGUUUGUCGCUCAAUAUAUGGUGAAUCUGAAUAACUUUAUGCUGAUCGCAUGGUCUUGUACCGGCGACGCAUCUUUCAAAUGUCUGCCUUAUCAACUGUCGAUGGUAGGAUCUGCGCCUACCAUGGUUGUAACGGGUAACGGGGAAUCAGGGUUCGAUUCCGGAGAGGGAGCCUGAGAAACGGCUACCACAUCCAAGGAAGGCAGCAGGCGCGCAAAUUACCCACUCCCGGCACGGGGAGGUAGUGACGAAAAAUAACGAUACGGGACUCAUCCGAGGCCCCGUAAUCGGAAUGAGUACACUUUAAAUCCUUUAACGAGGACCAAUUGGAGGGCAAGUCUGGUGCCAGCAGCCGCGGUAAUUCCAGCUCCAAUAGCGUAUAUUAAAGUUGUUGCGGUUAAAAAGCUCGUAGUUGAAUUUGUGUUCCGCACUGUCGGUUCACCGCCCGCGGUGCUAACUGGCAUGUUUGCGGAACGUCCUGCCGGUGGAUGUUCAGUUGAUAAUUUCAUUUCACUUUAUUUGAGCAUGUAUUGAAAAUGCUAUUUCAUAGUGUUUUCUUAUGUGUUUCGGUUUAGUUGAGUGAGUUGUUAACACAUCCGACUUAUAAAUCCUGUCGCGGUGCUCUUAAUUGAGUGUCGAGGCGGGCCGGCACGUUUACUUUGAACAAAUUAGAGUGCUCAAAGCAGGCUAAUUAAUGCCUGAAUAAUUAGUGCAUGGAAUAAUGGAACAGGACCUUGGUUCUAUUUUGUUGGUAUUCGGAACCCCAAGGUAAUGAUUAAUAGGGACAGAUGGGGGCAUUCGUAUUGCGACGUUAGAGGUGAAAUUCUUGGAUCGUCGCA
RNAcentral lists this ribosomal RNA (1056 nucleotides) under Amblystomus sp. NLG-2014. RNAcentral's name for it is "bacterial SSU rRNA". It matches the Rfam family "Eukaryotic small subunit ribosomal RNA", at positions 38 to 932 of the family's 1831-position model. The record is from RNAcentral. Lineage: Eukaryota; Metazoa; Arthropoda; Insecta; Coleoptera; Carabidae.